AAACCAACUGGGAUUACCUUAGUAACGGCGAGUGAAGCGGUAAAAGCUCAAAUUUGAAAUCUGGUACUUUCAGUGCCCGAGUUGUAAUUUGUAGAAUUUGUCUUUGAUUAGGUCCUUGUCUAUGUUCCUUGGAACAGGACGUCAUAGAGGGUGAGAAUCCCGUUUGGCGAGGAUACCUUUUCUCUGUAAGACUUUUUCGAAGAGUCGAGUUGUUUGGGAAUGCAGCUCAAAGUGGGUGUAAAUUCCAUCUAAAGCUAAAUAUUGGCGAGAGACCGAUAGCGAACAAGUACAGUGAUGGAAAGAUGAAAAGAACUUUGAAAAGAGAGUGAAAAAGUACGUGAAAUUGUUGAAAGGGAAGGGCAUUUGAUCAGACAUGGUGUUUUUGCAUGCACUCGCCUCUCGUGGGCUUGGGCCUCUCAAAAAUUUCACUGGGCCAACAUCAAUUCUGGCAGCAGGAUAAAUCAUUAAGAAUGUAGCUACUUCGGUAGUGUUAUAGCUUUUUGGAAUACUGUUAGCCGGGAUU
Molecule: ribosomal RNA, 523 nt
Filed under: uncultured Hanseniaspora
Lineage: Eukaryota; Fungi; Ascomycota; Saccharomycetes; Saccharomycodales; Saccharomycodaceae
Description: eukaryotic LSU rRNA
Rfam family: Eukaryotic large subunit ribosomal RNA
Source: RNAcentral